RNAcentral lists this ribosomal RNA (259 nucleotides) under uncultured Pseudomonas sp. RNAcentral's name for it is "partial 16S ribosomal RNA". It matches the Rfam family "Bacterial small subunit ribosomal RNA", at positions 96 to 355 of the family's 1533-position model. Lineage: Bacteria; Pseudomonadati; Pseudomonadota; Gammaproteobacteria; Pseudomonadales; Pseudomonadaceae. The record is from RNAcentral.
CGGCGGACGGGUGAGUAAUGCCUAGGAAUCUGCCUGGUAGUGGGGGACGAACGUUUCGAAAGGAAACGCUAAUACCGCAUACGUCCUACGGGAGAAAGCAGGGGACCUUCGGGCCUUGCGCUAUCAGAUGAGCCUAGGUCGGAUUAGCUAGUUGGUGAGGUAAUGGCUCACCAAGGCGACGAUCCGUAACUGGUCUGAGAGGAUGAUCAGUCACACUGGAACUGAGACACGGUCCAGACUCCUACGGGAGGCAGCAGUU